CCAUUGGUCAUACCCCUAAAAUGAAAGUGGUCCGCUUUGUGCAUUUAAAAUAUUGGGAGGAAUGUCACUAAUCUUAAAUAAUAUAACAGCGUAUUCUAAACCGUCAGUUUAACUAUACUCAAAAUAUAAUGUGCCCUACACAAAUGGAAAUUCUUAGUGUUGUUCAUUUACUAAUCUGGGAUUUGUGGACAAAAGAUAAAAAGGACUGGAAAUGUUACGUCAAAG
Molecule: non-coding RNA, 225 nt
Organism: Pelobates cultripes (western spadefoot toad)
Lineage: Eukaryota; Metazoa; Chordata; Amphibia; Anura; Pelobatidae
Source: the annotation of a GenBank genome assembly